This is a non-coding RNA of Pelobates cultripes (western spadefoot toad), 293 nucleotides long. The record is from the annotation of a GenBank genome assembly. NCBI's taxonomy places the organism in Eukaryota, Metazoa, Chordata, Amphibia, Anura, Pelobatidae.
AAUUAAGUUAUUGUUUGACAGAUAUGGGCUAUUAACAUUUUGUAGUACUCCACAAUGUAACCACCUGGGUCAGCUGUCUUACCUAUUUUAAAGCUGGAGAUGGCUGCGUAAAGUUCUUUCUCUGUGAUUGGACUAUUUAAGAGAUCACAAAAUCUUCCUCAACAUUGGAAAUGUUGACGUCUUCCAGGAAUUUAAAACCCAACUGGUGGUUGCCUAUUGGUGCGGUGUAAAGAGAACGGAAAUAAUUAUUUUUAAAAUUGUUAAUUUGAGUAUGGGAGGUAAUACGAUCACCU